RNAcentral lists this long non-coding RNA (213 nucleotides) under Elaeis guineensis (African oil palm). RNAcentral describes it as "long non-coding RNA (EGUI_LNC005533)". The record is from RNAcentral. Lineage: Eukaryota; Viridiplantae; Streptophyta; Magnoliopsida; Arecales; Arecaceae.
UGAGGCCUUAAAAAGCUAAUCCGAUGCUGUUAGAGGAAAUUAUUGAUUUAAGAAUCUCUUAUAACCUUCUGUGUCCUUCCACUUGAGGCAGUAGUAUCGUGCCAUGAAUAUAUUUUUUUAUGAAAUUCUCUAAAUUGGAUUUUAUUUCACAUCAUUAUUUAUAAUUACUGAAAAAUAGUUGAAGAAAUAUAUUUAUGCUUUUCUUUUAGCAUG